UUUGGUUAAGUUAGAAAGGGCGCACGGUGGAUGCCUUGACACUAGGAGUCGAUGAAGGACGGGACUAACGCCGAUAUGCUUCGGGGAGCUGUAAGUAAGCUUUGAUCCGAAGAUUUCCGAAUGGGGAAACCCACCAUACGUAAUGGUAUGGUAUCCUUAUCUGAAUACAUAGGGUAAGGAAGACAGACCCAGGGAACUGAAACAUCUAAGUACCUGGAGGAAGAGAAAGCAAAUGCGAUUUCCUGAGUAGCGGCGAGCGAAACGGAACAUAGCCCAAACCAAGAGGCUUGCCUCUUGGGUUGUAGGACAUUCUAUACGGAGUUACAAAGGAACGAGGUAGACGAAGCGACCUGGAAAGGUCCGUCGUAGAGGGUAACAACCCCGUAGUCGAAACUUCGUUCUCUCUUGAAUGUAUCCUGAGUACGGCGGAACACGUGAAAUUCCGUCGGAAUCUGGGAGGACCAUCUCCCAAGGCUAAAUACUCCCUAGUGAUCGAUAGUGAACCAGUACCGUGAGGGAAAGGUGAAAAGCACCCCGGAAGGGGAGUGAAAGAGAUCCUGAAACCGUGUGCCUACAAAUAGUCAGAGCCCGUUAACGGGUGAUGGCGUGCCUUUUGUAGAAUGAACCGGCGAGUUACGAUCCCGUGCGAGGUUAAGCUGAAGAGGCGGAGCCGCAGCGAAAGCGAGUCUGAAUAGGGCGUUUAGUACGUGGUCGUAGACCCGAAACCAGGUGAUCUACCCAUGUCCAGGGUGAAGUUCAGGUAACACUGAAUGGAGGCCCGAACCCACGCACGUUGAAAAGUGCGGGGAUGAGGUGUGGGUAGCGGAGAAAUUCCAAUCGAACCUGGAGAUAGCUGGUUCUCCCCGAAAUAGCUUUAGGGCUAGCCUUAAGUGUAAGAGUCUUGGAGGUAGAGCACUGAUUGGACUAGGGGUCCUCAUCGGAUUACCGAAUUCAGUCAAACUCCGAAUGCCAAUGACUUAUCCUUAGGAGUCAGACUGCGAGUGAUAAGAUCCGUAGUCAAAAGGGAAACAGCCCAGACCGCCAGCUAAGGUCCCAAAGUGUGUAUUAAGUGGAAAAGGAUGUGGAGUUGCUUAGACAACUAGGAUGUUGGCUUAGAAGCAGCCACCAUUUAAAGAGUGCGUAAUAGCUCACUAGUCGAGUGACUCUGCGCCGAAAAUGUACCGGGGCUAAAUACACCACCGAAGCUGCGGAUUGAUACCAAUGGUAUCAGUGGUAGGGGAGCGUUCUAAGGACAGUGAAGUCAGACCGGAAGGACUGGUGGAGUGCUUAGAAGUGAGAAUGCCGGUAUGAGUAGCGAAAGACGGGUGAGAAUCCCGUCCACCGAAUGCCUAAGGUUUCCUGAGGAAGGCUCGUCCGCUCAGGGUUAGUCAGGACCUAAGCCGAGGCCGACAGGCGUAGGCGAUGGACAACAGGUUGAUAUUCCUGUACCACCUCUUUAUCGUUUGAGCAAUGGAGGGACGCAGAAGGAUAGAAGAAGCGUGCGAUUGGUUGUGCACGUCCAAGCAGUUAGGCUGAUAAGUAGGCAAAUCCGCUUAUCGUAAAGGCUGAGCUGUGAUGGGGAAGCUCCUUAUGGAGCGAAGUCUUUGAUUCCCCGCUGCCAAGAAAAGCUUCUAGCGAGAUAAAAGGUGCCUGUACCGCAAACCGACACAGGUAGGCGAGGAGAGAAUCCUAAGGUGUGCGAGAGAACUCUGGUUAAGGAACUCGGCAAAAUGACCCCGUAACUUCGGGAGAAGGGGUGCUUUCUUAACGGAAAGCCGCAGUGAAUAGGCCCAAGCGACUGUUUAGCAAAAACACAGCUCUCUGCGAAGCCGUAAGGCGAAGUAUAGGGGGUGACACCUGCCCGGUGCUGGAAGGUUAAGGAGAGGGGUUAGCGUAAGCGAAGCUCUGAACUGAAGCCCCAGUAAACGGCGGCCGUAACUAUAACGGUCCUAAGGUAGCGAAAUUCCUUGUCGGGUAAGUUCCGACCCGCACGAAAGGUGUAACGAUUUGGGCACUGUCUCAACCAGAGACUCGGUGAAAUUAUAGUACCUGUGAAGAUGCAGGUUACCCGCGACAGGACGGAAAGACCCCGUGGAGCUUUACUGUAGCCUGAUAUUGAAUUUUGGUACAGUUUGUACAGGAUAGGCGGGAGCCUUUGAAACCGGAGCGCUAGCUUCGGUGGAGGCGCUGGUGGGAUACCGCCCUGACUGUAUUGAAAUUCUAACCUACGGGUCUUAUCGACCCGGGAGACAGUGUCAGGUGGGCAGUUUGACUGGGGCGGUCGCCUCCUAAAGUGUAACGGAGGCGCCCAAAGGUUCCCUCAGAAUGGUUGGAAAUCAUUCGUAGAGUGCAAAGGCAUAAGGGAGCUUGACUGCGAGACCUACAAGUCGAGCAGGGACGAAAGUCGGGCUUAGUGAUCCGGUGGUUCCGCAUGGAAGGGCCAUCGCUCAACGGAUAAAAGCUACCCCGGGGAUAACAGGCUUAUCUCCCCCAAGAGUCCACAUCGACGGGGAGGUUUGGCACCUCGAUGUCGGCUCAUCGCAUCCUGGGGCUGUAGUCGGUCCCAAGGGUUGGGCUGUUCGCCCAUUAAAGCGGUACGCGAGCUGGGUUCAGAACGUCGUGAGACAGUUCGGUCCCUAUCCGUCGUGGGCGUAGGAAAUUUGAGAGGAGCUGUCCUUAGUACGAGAGGACCGGGAUGGACGCACCGCUGGUGUACCAGUUGUUCUGCCAAGGGCAUAGCUGGGUAGCUAUGUGCGGAAGGGAUAAGUGCUGAAAGCAUCUAAGCAUGAAGCCCCCUCAAGAUGAGAUUUCCCAUAGCGUAAGCUAGUAAGAUCCCUGAAAGAUGAUCAGGUUGAUAGGUUCGAGGUGGAAGCAUGGUGACAUGUGGAGCUGACGAAUACUAAUAGAUCGAGGACUUAACCAUAUAA
This 2927-nucleotide ribosomal RNA is filed under the name Bacillus anthracis (anthrax bacterium). RNAcentral describes it as "bacterial LSU rRNA". It matches the Rfam family "Bacterial large subunit ribosomal RNA". Lineage: Bacteria; Bacillati; Bacillota; Bacilli; Caryophanales; Bacillaceae. The record is from RNAcentral.